ACUUGUCUAGCUCAGUUGGUAAAGCACAAGGCUCUUAACCUUGUGGUUGUGGGUUCGAGCUACAUGAUGGGUG
This 73-nucleotide transfer RNA is filed under the name Zea mays. It matches the Rfam family "tRNA". Rfam says of the family: Transfer RNA (tRNA) molecules are approximately 80 nucleotides in length. Their secondary structure includes four short double-helical elements and three loops (D, anti-codon, and T loops). Further hydrogen bonds mediate the characteristic L-shaped molecular structure. tRNAs have two regions of fundamental functional importance: the anti-codon, which is responsible for specific mRNA codon recognition, and the 3' end, to which the tRNAs corresponding amino acid is attached (by aminoacyl-tRNA synthetases). tRNAs cope with the degeneracy of the genetic code in two manners: having more than one tRNA (with a specific anti-codon) for a particular amino acid; and 'wobble' base-pairing, i.e. permitting non-standard base-pairing at the 3rd anti-codon position. The record is from Rfam by way of RNAcentral. Lineage: Eukaryota; Viridiplantae; Streptophyta; Magnoliopsida; Poales; Poaceae.